GGGGAUUUAGCUCAGUGGUAGAGCGCUUGCCUAGCAAGUACAAGGCCCUGGGUUCGGUCCCCAGCUCUG
Molecule: non-coding RNA, 69 nt
Organism: Rattus norvegicus (Norway rat)
Lineage: Eukaryota; Metazoa; Chordata; Mammalia; Rodentia; Muridae
Source: Rfam